CCAUUUUAAGCAUCCUUCUGAUUAUAGAGACACAGGAGAAUAGGUCGCCUAUUGUAAAUCAUUAGCACAUUGUGCCAUCUACAUUGUAUUUUGAAAAUGAAAUAGAAAGAGAUCUUUAACACAGGAGACUUCAUUUGCAUGGAUUUAUACAAAUUUAUGCUAUUAGAAUGCCGCUGUACACGUGCCCUGGACUCAAUAAGGAAGAGCCGAGCAGAAGGCAAAAAUGAAGAAAUAACACUUCAGAGGCUUACAUCAGCUUUAUCUUAACUUCAUGUGAUUGAGGUAACUGUGUUUCGAGAGCUCUUUCACAUUGUAGUGUCCUUUAAUUUACACCUCACAAAAUCAUGCCGUAAUAGGAGCUGUUUCAGGAACACCGACUAGCCGUUCCAUUGCUUGCAGUUGAUCAUACGGAGCAAUCUGCACCACAAUAAAGAGAUUAGAUAGUGGCUAGUAGGGUACAUGAACAGGAAGAAAGAAGGGCCAGAUGUUUUAUGUCGUAAUUAAGCUGCAUUCUGUUGAGUUUUUCAUUUUUAACUACUACUCCAAGGCUAUGACUAUUUGCACAUUUUCCCCAUUUAUGAUGCCACAGAGUCUGGUAUUUUCCUAUAAAGAUGGGAUUGCUGUUACAGCCAUUCACCUUGUUCCAUCUCAAUAUUAAAAGGCAUUGAUCUAUAUUCAUAUACGUGUAUGUGCUGACACACACACAUGCAUGCAGACUAAUCAAAUUUUAAAUUUCAACAAACAUUUAAUUGCAAGAAGCAAAUUUGAGAUAAACUAGUCACUAAUGGUUUAUUUAAAUGCUAAUAUGCACAAUUGAACAGUUGAACUGCCUAUUCAUCACCAGUUAAUCCCAAAUCCCUAACAGCGCAGAUUGUAAGGUGUGGAUAUGAAUACACUGAUCUUUGUCACAGAGUAAUCGUCAGUUUGUACGCUACCUAAAACAUAUGUCAUCAGUUCUCCGGUGUUUUCCCUAAAAGAUACAUUCGCAUAAAUUAAAGAAGACUACAUAUGGUGCAUUCCAUGUGUCAAUUAACUUUUAAGAAUCAACUGAUACUUCCGGAGUUCACUUAAAAUAAUUUUAGAAUUUUCAAUGUUUUAAAUAAUUUUGAGAAUUUUCAAUGUUUUAAAGCAGCGGAUUCGCAUCAAGAAACAUCCAAUGAGAAAUGGAUUUGGUUCCCAGCAGAAGUAUAUUCUAAUGUGCAGAUCCAGUAUAGCUCAGGAACCAAGGCAAUGAGGUUGAACUCCAAAAUUAAUCACUUCAACCAUAAAGGUCAGCCUACAACAGUAUUCAUGCGCAUAGUAGCAAGUUUGCCAGCAUUUCUCAGAGUCAACAAAAUAUCACUGUAAACAUGUUUUGCAUUUUGGUCAAAUGGAGAUGUUAGGCCAGUCAUGACAUUGACAACUCUCAUAGUAGUAGUAGAGUAUUAGUAGUACUAACAGUUACCAUGGAAUUGUUAUUUUACAAAUAAUGUAACAAAGUAUGCUAAGUCACCUGGUUAAAUCCGUCUGGCCAUGUUAUUUGCACGGCGUAGUUUCCCACAGGCCGAAUUUCUUCAGGUUCAAUAUCUUCAGGAACAUCAGUGUACUGCAGUUUUUGUUCCCCAGUCCAUUCAUCCUAUUUUGAACAAAGAAAAGAAAAGGAUUUAAGGGAAGCCAUUAUGGACUUCAACCACAAAAGAGGAUUUGUCAAGGAAAAUUUUCUUACAAAAAAGUAACAUUUUGUUUGAUUUGCAAAAGGGACUGUCUAUUCCCUCAACCACUUUGUAUUAAAAGUUUCCAUUGACUUUAUUUUUUCUUGACUGCCACAUCUAGAUUGAUGCAUAUUAACUACACCUAUUCAAAAUCAAACUGGGAUAGGAUUUUUAAAUCCUGGUCCAGGUUCUGCCCAAAUUUCUGGGCCUAUAUAUAUAUAUUACCAAGCCUGGCUUAUAUAUGUAACCGUUAGAGCAAUCUAGCCCUCAAUUGUGCAGAGCUGAGCAAAGCCCCCUUACAAAACUGACUUCCAAUUGGAUUGAACCUGGCUUGUGAACAGGUCCAACUGUAAUAAGAAAAAAUGGUACAAGGCUUUGGCCUGAGAUUUUCAUUCCAUAAAAUUCUUCUGGCAAAGUAAAUAAGGACCCAAACAACUCUUAUUUAUACUAGAAAGAAGUAUUAGUUGUCCAGAAGAAAUCCUUACGCACCACACUUUGGGCAGAGCGGUCAUUCCGUCUGACAGUUGCAGGAUGCAAAAGGAACUCUUCAUCUGAAUCUGGCACCUUCACCUUGAUUACCUUUAUUGAUUUAUCAUAUGUGACAGCUGUUGACACUAGAAUGGAAGAACAUAACAAAACAACCAUUUAUUCCCGGCAAGAGUGAGUUGAAAGAUUUUAGGAUAAAAUUUCAGAACUUCUAAAUUUAUAAUUUUAAACACAAGUACAAGCUCUUCAAAGGCAUUGGCCUAGCCUUCCAUUUUGACCGGUUAACAGAUCCAAAGCCAAUGACAAAACUAAUAUCAUACAAUGGACACAUAAUCACAAAUAACUUUUCAUAAUUAUCCCACCACCUAAUACAUUACAUUUUUGCCAGGAAAUGAUGCAGAGAUAAGUAGCAAGUACCUUGCUGACGAAUCUUGGCACAUUGUUGCACAACACAAAUUCCAAGGUUCUGAAAUGUCUUGGCAACUUCACCUUGAGGAUCAGCCACAGCUUCCGGGAUUCCACUAUCUCCAGAAGCAGAUAGCUAUACAAGUAAUGAAAUCAUAACUUCAAUUUGAUCAUGCAUUUCAGCAUAUAAAUGACAAAAUUUCACAUGUUUUAUGGUAAGGGUUUAGCAUUAACAAUGAAUUCAGAUAAGCCAAAGUGCCAAAUUGUAGGAUUCAGUGACCUGAUACAACCACCUAAUUAAAAAGAAGUUAAACAUGUAUCUGGAGCAGAUUCAAGCAUAAGCAGUGAUGAGAACACUCAUUCUUGUACGUACAGUUGGCCUAAUUGGAAGAUCAAACAAAUGAGGGAUUCCGAACUGCUGGACAACCUUCAAAGUUCAAAUACGUGAUCAAAGUGCAUUAAUAUUUUUUCAAUAAAGAUAGUGUUGAUAAAUGAUAAUGCUUGAAUUGAAAUCUCAAAUCUUCCAUGAAUUAAGAAAAUUAAAUCAUCAGAGUAAUAUGCAUGCCUGAGAACCUGAACCUCUACCAAAUGGGUAAUAGCGUUUCCCAUCAGCAUCAAAGUGGCACAUAUUCUCAACUACAGCAAUGCAAGGCACCUUAAGCUUGGAAAACAUGCGAACUCCUUUGGCAACAUCGAUAAAUGCUAGCUUUUGGGGGGUGGUCACAAUAACAGCAGCAGUUAACGGGACAACCUGGCAUAAAGUAAGCUGUAUGUCACCAGUUCCAGGUGGCAUGUCAAUUACAAGGUAAUCAAGCUCCCCCCACUCAGUAGUAGUCAGAAGUUGGUUUAUGACCCCAGAAACCAUUGGACCUCGCAUUAUCGCACGACCUUGUCCAGCAAAUCCGAAAGAUACCAACUUGACUCCCAAGUAUUCAGUUGGAAUAAUGGUUCUCUUCUCUGAAUUCAUCUCUAGCAGUCGGUUUUCAGGGGAGACCAUUGUUGGCAAGCUUGGACCAUAGACAUCAGCAUCAAAAAUGCCUACUCUAGCACCCAUACCAGCCAAAGUAUAUGCAAGAUUUACAGCUACAGUUGAUUUCCCCACACCUCCCUGCACAACUUUUCACAAAUAACAAUGCUGAGAAAAAUUAGACACAAUAAAUUGUGCUUUAAUUACUUGACACUUCCAGCAACCAGGACAACAUGGAAAUAGCAUGGGAAAAAAGUAUGACGAGUUCUCCCACCAAAAGCCAAAAGAGGGGGAUGACUUUUAAUGGAACCUUCCCUGCAAUUGUUGCCUUACAUUUGGGAUUAUGAGAUCAAAACCCAAGUAUUCAAAAUGGAUGACCUUAUGAAAUAACAUAAACAAGUUGUGGUCAACAAGUUACUGUGAAGUGCCUAGGGCACAUAUAUUGAUCCUGGGACAUUUAUGUGUUGGGCAGUCCAGGAAUUGCUAGAAAGUUAAUAACAAUAAAUUAUAAAACUGUGCCACACAUGAAGUGAGAAAAGAACCAAAGUUCAUGGGAAGUCUACCUUGCAACUUGAAACUGCCACAAUAUUUGAAAUUGUCUGCAACCCAGCAGGAAGUUGCCCUGCAAAAACAGGUCUGGCUGGUUGUGCUGACAUUGUUACUUUCACAUUCUUGACCCAAGGAAUCAUAGCCACCACUUCAUUUGCCCUCUGUUCAAACAUGUCCUUGACUGGACAUGCUGGUGUUGUGAGCUCCAACCGAAAUGAAACCUGACAUACAAAUUUAUAAUCUCUUCAUUAAAAGCUUUAAUUCAAUCCUCUAAAUAUAAGUUCAAGAAAAGUAUCCCAAGUUGUUGUGCGCUAAAGGACCUCCUCCAGAGCUUCAUCAAUCUCCAGAUCCUUCACAAACCCACAUGAUACAAUGUCUGUUCCAAAGUCAGGGUCUAUAAUCUGAGACAAGGCUUUCAACACAUCACUCUCAGCUGUCUCAGUUGAUAUUGCAGAAGCG
This 4557-nucleotide unclassified non-coding RNA is filed under the name Hevea brasiliensis (rubber tree). The record is from RNAcentral. Lineage: Eukaryota; Viridiplantae; Streptophyta; Magnoliopsida; Malpighiales; Euphorbiaceae.